AGCUCAAAUAACAAAAGGCAAGGAAUUUGAUCCAGCAAAAGCACAACAGGCUCCAGCAGAAGCUGCAAAAAGCAACAACGCCGAUAUAUUUAACCAUCAAUUCUUGGUGAAGGGCAGAAAGACCUAUGAAUUGUUCAGCACGCACAAGCCAAGGUGGCUUUCAACAAGCUUCAGAAAUCUGGCUUGCAGAGUUCAGGUUGAGCUCUCUGACGGGAAUAUGUGUGCAGCCACGGGCAAAAUUGAAAAUGCACGCGGACAUCCACCAACUACAAGAAGUCACUUCAUAGCCAGUCAUUUUGAUGAUUGUUUUGUAUUGCCUUUAAAUGUAUUUAUUUUACUGUACACCACCCUGAUGUCCUGUGGGAGGGCAAUGUACACUUUUAUAAAUAAAUAGAUGAAAUAAUG
Rhineura floridana is the source of this 405-nucleotide long non-coding RNA. RefSeq lists it as uncharacterized. NCBI's taxonomy places the organism in Eukaryota, Metazoa, Chordata, Lepidosauria, Squamata, Rhineuridae. The record is from RefSeq and is a predicted model, not a curated record. The transcript is spliced from 2 exons.